GAUGAACGCUGGCGGCGUGCUUAACACAUGCAAGUCGAGCGAAGCACUUAAGUUUGAUUCUUCGGAUGAAGACUUUUGCGACUGAGCGGCGGACGGGUGAGUAACGCGUGGGUAACCUGCCUCAUACAGGGGGAUAACAGUUAGAAAUGACUGCUAAUACCGCAUAAGACCACAGGGUCGCAUGACCCGGUGGUAAAAACUCCGGUGGUAUGAGAUGGACCCGCGUCUGAUUAGGCAGUUGGCAGGGUAACGGCCUACCAAACCGACGAUCAGUAGCCGGCCUGAGAGGGUGAACGGCCACAUUGGGACUGAGACACGGCCCAA
RNAcentral lists this ribosomal RNA (324 nucleotides) under uncultured bacterium. Its description in RNAcentral is "bacterial SSU rRNA". It matches the Rfam family "Bacterial small subunit ribosomal RNA", at positions 28 to 334 of the family's 1533-position model. The record is from RNAcentral.